Molecule: long non-coding RNA, 3054 nt
Organism: Passer domesticus (house sparrow)
Lineage: Eukaryota; Metazoa; Chordata; Aves; Passeriformes; Passeridae
Exons: 3
Source: RefSeq, a predicted model, not a curated record
CUUCUGGUUCUUGUUUCCAGCUGCCUUUUUUUUAAAAUUAGAAAUAGAGUACCAAACUGAAACUAUCUCUGCUAUCUCCUGGCUACCUAGUUGUGAUGGCAGUGUGAAUAACUAGAUUUUGUUUCCACUUUUUGCUUUCAUUGCCAUUGAUCUCUAGCUACCUCUGGGGCACAGGAACGUGUCACAAGCUUCCCUGAGCUUUACCUCGGACAUUCCAUGAGCAGCAGGGUGGCUUUGAAUCUCUUUCCCCCGCCAGGAAUGGAUACAAAAGGACAAAUAGGGAGGAUGGAGCACAAAACAAGACUGAACACCCAUUUCAAAGCUCCAUCUAGUCUUUGUACCAGCAAGAGCUUUUCCCCCACAUCUUUUCAGGCCAAAGAAUGGCACCACGUUAAUGCAGCUUCAGUGCUUCCAGGCCCAGGGAAAUCAUGGGGACACAGCAGGUUAAUCAGCAUAUCAACCCAGCACCAGCCCAGUCAGAAACUGUCCUCACAUCCCACCAUGUGACAGCAAUCUGCCAUGAGAUGUCUUCAGCCUCUUACUCAUUUCCCACAUCUAUUACACCUGUAGGAAGGCAGGAUUUUCAGAGGAGCCAGGCAGUUUAGAGUGAGGUAUGCUGAGCAAUGGCUUUCCUUUGGCAAUAGGAGCAAUAUUUAUCUCAAGGAAUGGUUUGGUCACUGCGCUGAUUUGCUUGCUGUGGUGUGCUCUCUCUGCUCCAGUGCCCAGCAGCAUCAUUACCACAGAGAACUUUGCUCAAGCAAUUGCCUGCACCAGAAUUUUAAGUCUGCAUGUUCAGGUCAGGAGCAUCCAUCAGCUGACAGGAGCAGCACCAUGGGAUCCUCUACCCAAAUGACCUCCAGUAAAGUCAGGCUCAGAAAAAAAAUCUCUCCAACAGAACUCAGUUCCUUCAUAUACAGUAAAAUUCAGGAACCCACUGGAAAAGAAGAGGAUUCAUUCAGUGUCUGCAAGAACCCUGUUCCUGAAAGAGAAGAGUGUGGCCAUGUCAAUAAGACCUGUGCAUUGAUGCAUUCCCAGCCCUGAGCUGCCACCUGCCUCUGUGCCAGCAGUGCUCUGCAGGUGAGCAGGGCAUGGGGGGCAAAGUGGCAGCCUGACAAAGAGAGAGGAUUCAAAGGUAACUCGUGCUGGAACAGGGUGAUCCUGACAAGGCAGUGCUCAGAGCAGCAGCUGAGUGGCACUGCAUUCAUCAAUUCACCUCAGUUGUCAUUAUCCCAGGACAAGGGCCCUUCAGGCAUCCAGCUAUGGUCAAACGAAGGCAAGAAUAAACAAGGAAGCUCCCCACCAUGUCAUGAAUUCACUGCUCCACACUGGACCCUUCCCCACAUGACACAGGGCGGCCACAUGCCCCUGAUGUGCCCAGUGAAGGAGACCUUUUCUACUGACAGGAUAUCAUUCCUGGAGCAAACUGUCACCUUUGUGAAUUUAAAUGUGAGUGUGAGUUCCACUGCAGGUUGUCUACACUCUUAGAUUUUCCAUAUAUUUUACUGGCAUGUACCUAAUCAACCUGUUCCUUCUGCACACAUUUCUGUGACAGGUUUGAACACAAUACCUUGGCUUUUUCUUCCAAACACUUAAUCAGGGCAGAAUUCAGGUAUUGUCGGAGGUUAUUAUUUUCUUCAUGUAACCUAGCAAGUUCCUCUUCCUUCUGAAGCAAAGUAUCUUGAAGCUGUGGAAUAGAGAUAUUGAUGAAUAGAUGUUGACUCUGUAACUUAAUAGCAAUUGCCCUCUGGUACAAGCUGCUUGGAUUUGAUGAUCUGGGUGUUUGCUUUGUGAGCUCAACCCACUCCCUCCAGCCUCUUGUUUCUAUAACUCUAAGUGGCAUGACUGUUCAGUUUUCACUUUUGACUUCCUUUAAUCUUUAAGUGAGUGUUUGAAAAGAUUAUUCUGAAAAAAACUGCAACCACAGAAUAAUAAUAGAAAUUAAUUACAAGUAGCCCUGUGAGCAGCCAGAAAUGGUCACGGGCAUGACAGCAGCUUCAGGAUCUCCUCUUGAGCCACAGCAAACAUCCCUUUGCACCCCUCCUUCCCAUUUAUAGCUGGCUAGUGAAAAAAAAAGCAGGAGGAGUUGCAAACUAACAAUUUAUGGGGGUAGAGUGCAGAAGUGAGAUGCAGUUGCUAUUCUUUAUGAUAAAGUAGCACUCAGUGAUCUCUUCAGUUCUGGACCCUACUGUGCCAGAACUGAUACAUAUACAGAGUUGAGAUGAUCCCUGGUCUCAAAAGCUGAACAGGAAUGGCAGACACCUAACACUUUUCUAUGGGAAAUCUAAGUGUUUAUAGAUAGAUAUUUGGCUCCUCAUCAUAGCUCUGGAGACUUCUUUAGGAGGACAAAGAAUCUUCUGCCUUGGACCACAGGCAUCUGCUGAGCAUAGGCUUAGUCAAAAACAGAUUAAAUGAUUGAGGCCGAGCCAAAGAAAGAAGUACACUGACAUCUGGAACUAUGGUUUGAUCCAGGGACCUUUAAGAUAAUAUCUGAAUUUUCACUGACUUGACUGUGUCAAAACAUCAUUCCAAGUACUUGAUCAGCGUCAUCAAACUGGAGCUCCUUCAUUAAAGACAGUUCAGUUUCUCCUGUCUCUUGUUGGGAUUUACAAAAAAAAAUGAAAUAUAAGAGAAAAUAAAGUAACAAGGAAAACCUGUUGGUCAAAAUGGUUGAUCUUCCAUGUAAUUAGACAGUUCUGGUGGACUCAUUUCCCAUGAAGUUAAACCUGGUGGAAUCAGGAGGACACAUGCUACGUAUUUCUAGCCAACAGCAUCACCAGAGCCUGAGGUCCCCCUGCUCAUGCCCCUGGUUUUCUUUAGUGCCAAGGCUGCUGCUGCAAUAUGAUGUAAGAGGGGAGGAAUGGAUACGGAAUCCCACCACAGUUGGUCCAACCUCACAGGACAACAUGGGGGAGACAAAUACAUCAAGCAAAGAACAACAGUUUUGUGUCAGUUCUGACGUCUGUGCCAGUGACAGGGAGACCUGCCAUAAGCCAACCCAGAAGAUGCAAUACGUGACACAAAGUUCGGGAGCCCCGUGGGGUGAACCCGGGGCUG